AGAGUUUGAUUAUGGCUCAGGAUGAACGCUGGCGGCGUGCUUAACACAUGCAAGUCGAACGAACCUUCGGGUUAGUGGCGGACGGGUGAGUAACGCGUGAGAAUCUGCCCUCAGGAGGGGGAUAACGGUUGGAAACGACCGCUAAUACCCCAUAUGCCUAUUGGUGAAAUGAAUUUCGCCUGAGGAUGAGCUCGCGUCUGAUUAGCUAGUUGGUGAGGUAAUGGCUCACCAAGGCUUCGAUCAGUAGCUGGUCUGAGAGGAUGAUCAGCCACACUGGGACUGAGACACGGCCCAGACUCCUACGGGAGGCAGCAGUGGGGAAUUUUCCGCAAUGGGCGAAAGCCUGACGGAGCAACGCCGCGUGAGGGACGAAGGCCUCUGGGCUGUAAACCUCUUUUCUCAAGGAAGAAGAUAUGACGGUACUUGAGGAAUAAGCCACGGCUAAUUCCGUGCCAGCCGCCGCGGUAAUA
This 470-nucleotide ribosomal RNA is filed under the name uncultured bacterium. Its description in RNAcentral is "bacterial SSU rRNA". It matches the Rfam family "Bacterial small subunit ribosomal RNA", at positions 8 to 525 of the family's 1533-position model. The record is from RNAcentral.